Molecule: ribosomal RNA, 253 nt
Filed under: uncultured bacterium
Lineage: Bacteria
Description: partial 16S ribosomal RNA
Rfam family: Bacterial small subunit ribosomal RNA
Source: RNAcentral
UACGAAGGGGGCUAGCGUUGCUCGGAAUUACUGGGCGUAAAGCGCACGUAGGCGGCUUGUUAUGUCAGGGGUGAAAUCCUGGAGCUCAACUCCAGAACUGCCUUUGAUACUGGCGAGCUUGAGUUCGGGAGAGGUGAGUGGAACUGCGAGUGUAGAGGUGAAAUUCGUAGAUAUUCGCAAGAACACCAGUGGCGAAGGCGGCUCACUGGCCCGAUACUGACGCUGAGGUGCGAAAGCGUGGGGAGCAAACAGG